AUAUUUUCAGGCAGCUAUUGAGCUUUUCUAGAGGAAGAGCUGAUGAAAAGAGUCACAGCUGAAUAGUGGAGAGAAAAAGCCCGGUAUUUAUUGCUUUUGUUUGGCUUUUGGCUACAGAGACAGGAACCUUCUAAUGGGAGGAGAAGAGCUACCUUGCGGUGAGCAGUGCAAUGAAGAAACCCAUGGUGAGGACUGAGGCCUUCAGUCCAUCAGCCCUGGCAACAAACGACAGCCUUUGCAACAUAUGGUAUAAGGAACCAUUUGCGAAUGAUGGUCUGGGGAAGAAAUAUGGAUACAACUGCUCUUGCUUCAGGAUUGUGAGAAUAAAACAAAAUAAUGUCUAAGUUGAGUCUAAUCCAUCCAUCCAUCCAUCCAUCCAUCCAUCCAUCCAUCCAUCCAUCCAUCAUCUACUUCAAUCAGUAUUUACGUAUGCCCACUCUGUGUCAGAUACUGAGUACAGUGUCCUAAAGUAGAGAAUGACAGGAAGUCAGCACC
Long non-coding RNA from Heterocephalus glaber (naked mole-rat), 495 nucleotides. The record is from Ensembl. Lineage: Eukaryota; Metazoa; Chordata; Mammalia; Rodentia; Bathyergidae.